GAUGAACGCUGACAGAAUGCUUAACACAUGCAAGUCUUUGGCGAAGCUGUGCUUGCACAGCCUAGCCAAGGCGGACGGGUGAGUAACGCGUAAGGAACUUGCCCUGCAGUCAGGGAUAACAGACGGAAACGACUGAUAAGACCUGGUAAAGUCAGGCGGACUCAUGUCCAGCCUGAUGAAAAGAGAUGCUGCAGGAGAGCCUUGCGUCCUAUUAGCUUGUUGGUGGGGUAACGGCCCACCAAGGCGAUGAUAGGUAGCCGGCCUGAGAGGGUGGACGGCCACAAGGGGACGGAGAUACGGCCCUUACUCCUACGGGAGGCAGCAGUGGGGAAUAUUGGACAAUGGGGGCAACCCUGAUCCAGCAAUUCUGUGUGCACGAUGAAGGUUUUCGGAUUGUAAAGUGCUUUCAGCAGGGAAGAAAAAAUGACGGUACCUGCAGAAGAAGCGACGGCUAAAUACGUG
This 462-nucleotide ribosomal RNA is filed under the name uncultured bacterium. RNAcentral's name for it is "partial 16S ribosomal RNA". It matches the Rfam family "Bacterial small subunit ribosomal RNA", at positions 28 to 507 of the family's 1533-position model. The record is from RNAcentral.